This is a long non-coding RNA of Lepidothrix coronata (blue-crowned manakin), 233 nucleotides long. RefSeq lists it as uncharacterized. The record is from RefSeq and is a predicted model, not a curated record. The transcript is spliced from 3 exons. Lineage: Eukaryota; Metazoa; Chordata; Aves; Passeriformes; Pipridae.
CCCCAGAAUCUCCUUCGCUCCGUGGUCCCCGACGUGCUCCGGGCUCUCAGGGAGCUGCUGGAAUUCGACGAGGAUCUCUGCGCCGACGCCUUGGAAGUGCUGGACGAGCUCCUGGAGGCGAAUCCCGAGGCCCUGAUCCCUCACCUGGAGGAAACGUUGGAUUUCCUUCUCCAGGUGGCCGGGGACGAGUCCAGGGGUGACCCCGUGAGGGUUCGGGCGCUGGCGACCGUCAC